This 67-nucleotide transfer RNA is filed under the name Ramisyllis kingghidorahi. RNAcentral describes it as "Ramisyllis sp. k GPS-2021 tRNA-Asn". Lineage: Eukaryota; Metazoa; Annelida; Polychaeta; Phyllodocida; Syllidae. The record is from RNAcentral.
AUUUAUGGUAGCAUAAAAAAUGCAAUUAACUGUUAAUUAAUAGAAAUCUAAGCCUAGAUCCAUAAAA